GGGGUGUUUAAGACAGCUGUCUGAAAGGAGGAUCCAGAGGGAAACAACCACACAGGCUGUGGUUAUAGCUACUGUCAUGACACAGUACAAAGUCAUCUCAUUUCUGUAGUGUAACAAUUUUAAUUUACAGAACAUUGCCCAAUUGCAUUACAUUUAGUGCAAAUGAUAACACUUUAGACGUAUAACUUAAAUAUACAAAGCGUGUCCAUUCCUUAAAGACAAUUAAAAAUUGCUAAAUGCAUUCUUCAGAUUGGAUUCUGUGAACUAUGAUCCCUUUAGGCUGAAAAGUGGAUUCUAACCUCAGCCUUAGCGACAUGUUCAUUGAAAAAUCACAAGUUUAAACGAAAUCAAAAAACAAACAAAUAAAAUUGAGGUAACAAAACCUUGUGACAUGUGGACAACCAGUGUAGUGAGAUUCUAACUGCACCACUGGUCCUGUGAUACUGUAGUAGAAUGAAGCCUCUCAGGGCUCAGUAGGUGGGUCCUUGGCUCCAAGGCAUUACGAAAAGUUCAAAGACGGGGAGAUGUGUUGGUAUGUGAAAGGUCAUGUGAUCCAAACAACCCCUCUAUCCUAUAAGCCUUUUAAGCCACAAAGGGGUUCCAUUUGAACAUCCAAAGCUGUGCUAAACUGUAAACUAGCAAUAUAGCUUGUAUGUUAAUUGGACAUAAGAUGAGGUGGGGACAAACAGUAGAGACAAACAUUUGAUACCAGUGUUUAUGGGUCACAUUCAACAAUCUCAGCCAUCCAUACUGUCAAUUCUUCGUUGUCAUCAUAAAGAUUACUUAGAAAAAUAGAGACAAGUUUUCUCUUCCAGUUCACCAAUCCCAUUAGUUUUUUCUUUCAAGCCAUUAACAAUCAAUUCACAUUACAUACACUGGUAAAUUAAUUCUGUCUCUGUACAAUACAUCCAUAGUGCUUCUUUACAGCUAUAUUGAUCUACAAAUCUAGAGAUUUUAGCCUAAGGGAGUGUACAAAGCUCCCCCCCCCCCCCCUCAGACCAUCAUCCCGGUCGUCACUAGAGGGACUAGACCAGAGGAAGGUAGCCAUUCUCACUACGCCACUGUAUGCUUCUUUCUUUUUCCUAGCAAAAUUAGCAGCAUGAAAAGAAGCUUUGAUGAUGACUGUUAAAGCUAACAAACAAGUAUAGUCAAAAAUAAUGUAAUAAUUGGAAAUGUACAAAACAAUUUACAAAAAGCAGAGUUGGUUCUGUCGAUUCAAAAAUCGCCAUAGACAUUUUUAAACGUAUAUACAAAUCCAUAUCCAUGGACAGCUGGACGACCUUCAUUUCUGGGGCUCAGGUAACUACAAAUUGAAUAAACCAGUCAACACAUUUCAUCUGGAACAUUCUGGAUGGUGGUAUCAUGGGUAAUGUAGUUUGUAGCCCCUUGGGAAAUGUAGCCAUGUCUCUUCAGGACAAAAAGGUAUUUUUGCCUCCCAACACCUGUGAGA
Esox lucius (northern pike) is the source of this 1450-nucleotide long non-coding RNA. The record is from Ensembl. Lineage: Eukaryota; Metazoa; Chordata; Actinopteri; Esociformes; Esocidae.